UACGAAGGGGCUAGCGUUGUUCGGAAUUACUGGGCGUAAAGCGUGCGCAGGCGGUUCGUUGUGUCGGUGGUGAAAGCCCCGGGCUUAACCUGGGAAUGGCCAUGGAAACUGGCGAACUGGAGUGUGGCAGAGGGGGGUGGAAUUCCGCGUGUAGCAGUGAAAUGCGUAGAGAUGCGGAGGAACACCGAUGGCGAAGGCAGCCCCCUGGGCUAGCACUGACGCUCAGGCACGAAAGCGUGGGGAGCAAACAGG
This 252-nucleotide ribosomal RNA is filed under the name uncultured bacterium. Its description in RNAcentral is "partial 16S ribosomal RNA". It matches the Rfam family "Bacterial small subunit ribosomal RNA", at positions 524 to 776 of the family's 1533-position model. The record is from RNAcentral.